This 93-nucleotide microRNA precursor is filed under the name Olea europaea subsp. europaea. The record is from RNAcentral. Lineage: Eukaryota; Viridiplantae; Streptophyta; Magnoliopsida; Lamiales; Oleaceae.
CCAUGAUCAUGAUCAUGAUCAUGACCAUGACCAUGACCAUGACCAUGACCAUGAUCAUGAUCAUGGUCAUGGUCAUGAUGAUCAUGGUCAUGC